This 215-nucleotide ribosomal RNA is filed under the name Clostridioides difficile. RNAcentral describes it as "partial 16S ribosomal RNA". It matches the Rfam family "Bacterial small subunit ribosomal RNA", at positions 1326 to 1533 of the family's 1533-position model. Lineage: Bacteria; Bacillati; Bacillota; Clostridia; Peptostreptococcales; Peptostreptococcaceae. The record is from RNAcentral.
CUGGAGUUACUAGUAAUCGCAGAUCAGAAUGCUGCGGUGAAUGCGUUCCCGGGUCUUGUACACACCGCCCGUCACACCACGGGAGUUGGAGACGCCCGAAGCCGAUUAUCUAACCUUUUGGAAGAAGUCGUCGAAGGUGGAAUCAAUAACUGGGGUGAAGUCGUAACAAGGUAGCCGUAUCGGAAGGUGCGGCUGGAUCACCUCCUUUCUAAGGA